GACGAACGCUGGCGGCGUGCUUAACACAUGCAAGUCGAACGGAAAGGCCCUGCUUUUGUGGGGUGCUCGAGUGGCGAACGGGUGAGUAACACGUGAGUAACCUGCCCUUGACUUUGGGAUAACUUCAGGAAACUGGGGCUAAUACCGGAUAGGAGCUCCUGCUGCAUGGUGGGGGUUGGACAGUUUCGGCGGUUGGGGAUGGACUCGCGGCUUAUCAGCUUGUUGGUGGGGUAGUGGCUUACCAAGGCUUUGACGGGUAGCCGGCCUGAGAGGGUGACCGGCGACAUUGGGACUGAGAGACGGCCCAGACUCCUACGGGAGGCAGCAGUGGGGAAUAUUGCACAAUGGGCGGAAGCCUGAUGCAGCAACGCCGCGUGCGGGAUGACGGCCUUCGGGUUGUAAACCGCUUUCGCCUGUGACGAAGCGUGAGUGACGGUAAUGGGUAAAGAAGCACCGGCUAACUACGUG
This 468-nucleotide ribosomal RNA is filed under the name uncultured bacterium. RNAcentral's name for it is "partial 16S ribosomal RNA". It matches the Rfam family "Bacterial small subunit ribosomal RNA", at positions 28 to 507 of the family's 1533-position model. The record is from RNAcentral.